RNAcentral lists this ribosomal RNA (231 nucleotides) under uncultured bacterium. Its description in RNAcentral is "partial 16S ribosomal RNA". It matches the Rfam family "Bacterial small subunit ribosomal RNA", at positions 103 to 334 of the family's 1533-position model. The record is from RNAcentral.
CGGGUGAGUAACAUAUCGGAACGUACCCUGGGGUGGGGACAACGCCGCGAAAGCGGCGCUAAUACCGCAUACGGUCUACGGAAGAAAGUGGGGGACCUGUCAAAAGGCCUCACGCCCCUGGAGCGGCCGAUAUCUGAUUAGCUAGUUGGAGAGGUAAAAGCUCCCCAAGGCGAUGAUCAGUAGCUGGUCUGAGAGGACGACCAGCCACACUGGAACUGAGACACGGUCCAG